GUGUUUUUCCAAAGCCUUCCAACAGCAACAUGAAGUUGGCAGCCUUCCUCCUCCUGUGAUCCUCAUCAUCUUCAGCCUAGAGGUACAAGAGCUUCAGGCUGCAGGAGACCGGCUUUUGGGGGCCCCUUUUUACAGAUGAGAAAAGUUCCAGAAAGACCCAGAGACAUAAUCAGGUACCUGCGUCGAGCUCUGCACAGGUGACUGGGACUGCAACCCCGGAGACCACUGUGUCAGCAAUGGGUGUGGCCAUGAGUGUGUUGCAGGAUGAAGAGUUAUCUUAAGGAUCAUCUUUCCCUAAGAUCGUCAUCCCUUCCUGGAGUUCCUAUCUUCCAAGAUGUGACUGUCUGGAGUUCCUUGACUAGGAAGAUGGAUGAAAACAGCAAGCCUGUGGAUGGAGACUACAGGGGAUAUGGGAGGCAGGGAAGAGGGGUUGUUUCUUUUAAUAAAUCAUCAUUGUUAAAAGCACU
Molecule: long non-coding RNA, 467 nt
Filed under: Homo sapiens (human)
Lineage: Eukaryota; Metazoa; Chordata; Mammalia; Primates; Hominidae
Description: non-protein coding lnc-HEATR6-1:27
Source: RNAcentral